This 166-nucleotide ribosomal RNA is filed under the name Odontites bocconei. RNAcentral describes it as "5.8S ribosomal RNA". It matches the Rfam family "5.8S ribosomal RNA". Rfam says of the family: 5.8S ribosomal RNA (5.8S rRNA) is a component of the large subunit of the eukaryotic ribosome. It is transcribed by RNA polymerase I as part of the 45S precursor that also contains 18S and 28S rRNA. Functionally, it is thought that 5.8S rRNA may be involved in ribosome translocation. RNAcentral also lists the same sequence under 7 other names. Lineage: Eukaryota; Viridiplantae; Streptophyta; Magnoliopsida; Lamiales; Orobanchaceae. The record is from RNAcentral.
UAAGUCUAAACGACUCUCGGCAACGGAUAUCUCGGCUCUCGCAUCGAUGAAGAACGUAGCGAAAUGCGAUACUUGGUGUGAAUUGCAGAAUCCCGUGAACCAUCGAGUCUUUGAACGCAAGUUGCGCCCGAAACCAUUCGGUUGAGGGCACGUCUGCCUGGGCGUC